CCUAAAUUGCCUCGUCCACUUAACAAAUUCAUUUUUAAAAAUAUUAUUUUGUGCUCUCCAUAUGCUCCAAAGUGUUUUGUUGUUUUGCAAUUUGCUAAAUACCAACAAAAUCGAUUCCGAGUCAUUCCGAAAUCCGAACUAAUUAACUAUUAACGAUUCAAUUAGUCCGGCCCGUUUUUACUUAUCGGGCCAAACUAAUUAUCCAUGUACUAACGCUUUUGGGCCCAUGUACUUGUUUCCUCGGGUCGGGCCAUUUCUAACCGGAUCACGUAUAAAACGAGAAUUAUGGGGAUUUGGAAACGAAAACCGAAACCAAUAUUUGUAUCUACUUAAAAAGAAAAUGGAACGUAAAAAAUACAUAUAACUCGUACAAUAAUUCUUGUUAGUAAAAUUAUUGUUAUGAUUAUUGAACAAUGUAGGUAAAUAAGAGUUUGAUCAAUCAAAUAAUUAACAAUAUGAAUCCAAAUAUUGUAUUAAUUGAUUUCCUUUAGUGGCGAAUGUCAUGUUGCACCACCCUCCACCUCCGGCGGCGGUGCGAGUGGUGGCUCAGCCGUCCAUCGGACUCCCCCAUUGUAGUUUCUCGCACGCUGGAUUGUCGGCUCUUGCCUUGGAAUAACAACAUCGGGCAUCAUUACACCGUAACUUAUGAUUUUGUUUCCGUCGACGGGUGUCGAAAGAAAUGCAAUUGCCACCACCACCACCGCGGCGGCACAAACCACCACCACCGUCUUUGCCAUAUAUAUGUUUGAACCUUCAAAUGUUUUUCU
Molecule: long non-coding RNA, 767 nt
Filed under: Erythranthe guttata (spotted monkey flower)
Lineage: Eukaryota; Viridiplantae; Streptophyta; Magnoliopsida; Lamiales; Phrymaceae
Description: long non-coding RNA (EGUT_LNC000485)
Source: RNAcentral